RNAcentral lists this ribosomal RNA (484 nucleotides) under uncultured bacterium. RNAcentral describes it as "bacterial SSU rRNA". It matches the Rfam family "Bacterial small subunit ribosomal RNA", at positions 37 to 507 of the family's 1533-position model. The record is from RNAcentral.
UGGCGGCAGGCCUAACACAUGCAAGUCGAGCGGUAACAGUUUCUAGCUUGCUAGAAGAUGACGAGCGGCGACGGGUGAGUAACGCGUAGAAAUCUACCUAGUAGUGGGGGAUAGCCCAGAGAAAUUUGGAUUAAUACCGCAUACGCCCUACCGGGGGAAAGCCGGGGGAUCUUCGGACCUCGUGCUAUUAGAUGAGUCUGCGUCGGAUUAGCUUGUUGGUGAGGUAAUGGCUCACCAAGGCGACGAUCCGUAGCUGGUCUGAGAGGAUGACCAGCCACACUGGAACUGAGACACGGUCCAGACUCCUACGGGAGGCAGCAGGUGGGGAAUAUUGCACAAUGGGCGCAAGCCUGAUGCAGCCAUGCCGCGUGUGUGAAGAAGGCCGUUAGGGUUGUAAAGCUACUUUCAGCAGUGAGGAAAGGGGUGUCGUUAAUAGCGCCAUCCUGUGACGUUAACUGCAGAAGAAGGACCGGCUAACUCCGUG